This 546-nucleotide small RNA is filed under the name Pongo abelii (Sumatran orangutan). RNAcentral's name for it is "retained intron". Lineage: Eukaryota; Metazoa; Chordata; Mammalia; Primates; Hominidae. The record is from RNAcentral.
UUUUGCUGCAUAGAUUACAACGGUGAUGGCGGGCAAGCGGUCCGGCUGGAGCCGGGCGGCUCUCCUCCAGCUCCUUCUCGGCGUGAACCUGGUGGUGAUGCCGCCCACCCAGGCCCGGAGUCUGCGCUUCGUUACCUUGCUGUACCGCCAUGGAGACCGUUCACCAGUGAAGACAUAUCCCAAGGACCCCUAUCAGGAAGAAGAAUGGCCCCAGGGGUUUGGUCAGUUAACCAAGGAGGGGAUGCUACAGCACUGGGAGCUGGGCCAGGCCCUGCGGCAGCGCUAUCAUGGCUUCCUAAACACCUCUUAUCACCGGCAAGAGGUAAGGGGAACGGGGUAUGCUGCCCUCAUCUUUUGCCCUCAGGGAGCCUAAGGCUGAGGCUGGGCACUUUGGCCUCCUUGUAUUUUUGGUCACAACUACAGGAAAAGACAUCUGAGAGCUGUCUGGAACAAAGCCCUAGGAGCUGAGUUGCCCCUGCUUGGCUGGGAAGAGGCAAACUUGAUUAAGCAUCCCAAUUCAGACUUAAGGGCGGGCCUGGCAAAGUG